Molecule: non-coding RNA, 1239 nt
Organism: Camellia sinensis
Lineage: Eukaryota; Viridiplantae; Streptophyta; Magnoliopsida; Ericales; Theaceae
Source: RefSeq, a predicted model, not a curated record
GAUGCUUGGCUUUCAUUGGGAAUAAAAUUGUUCAAUUUGUUUUUAGUUUACAAUUUUUUUUAAAAAUUUAACAUUGUCAUUUCUGAGUUACUGAAAAUGAUAAAUGAUAAAAGCAUAUGUACUCAUUUCUUAUUGCAGAACAUUUGUUAUGUCAUAUGGUUGCUUGGUCUAAUUAUUAGUUCCCUAUUAUUUGUCAUAUGUCAUUUUAGCUACCAUUUAGCAGGUUUGUUUAUGUAGUGUUGAUUGAAUUUUUUUUCUUCAAUUUCUUUAUGGAUAACUGAAAGAGGAGUGCAGAGAAGUGGGGCAUAAUUGUUUGUUUCUUUAUGGUUUUGAUUUCAUACGAUUUGCGAUUUGAUUCAGUGAGUAAUCAAUACGAACAGGUUGUAUAAAUCACAAAUAGCCAUGAAUCGUAGGUGAAUCGGUGAACCAAAUCGGUGAAUCGUGAAGUGAAUCGAUUCGAUUCGCUAAAAUCGAUGUUUGACUUUCCUUUUUAGUUUUUUAUUGUUGGAAAAGGGUUCACACAACCUUUUUAAGGUCUUUAGGAUUACUAUAUGCCAUCUUUUGACUUUCUCCCUCCCUCUUUUGUUAGUUUUUCAUAUCUCUUUAUCCCCUUAACAUUAUAUCCGUAAGUCAAUGGAGUUUUGUUAGUUUUAUUUAUAGAUUUAUUUAUUUUUGUUGUUGUUGUUGUUAUAUAUAAAAUUAAGAUGAAUCUUCUUUUUGAAUUUUGCAAACCCUUCAGCUCCUUCAUCUGUGUUGGACACACACACCUUUUAUUGUUGUAGUUUUUUGUCUUUUAUUUUUUUACUUUUUAUUUUAUCAGGGAAUUAGUUGUAGAGAAAUUAUCAAUUCAUGUAAGGCUGAUGUUUUUAUUCUUAAUGCUUUGUACAUGUGACGGAGGCAUCAAAAUUUGGUGAGGAAAAUAGUUCUAAAGGCCCCAUCAAUAGAGGGAAUGGAAGGUGAGGGGGAGAUUAAUCAAAUGAUCAAACUUUUGGUUGAGGAAAAAGUUCUCAUUUGCUAAACUUUUGACUGGGGUGAGGAAAAAGUUUCCCUUUGCUUGACUGUGCUGAGUUUAUGAAUUUAUCUAUUUUUUGGAUAAUAUUCUCUUCGCUACUUAUUUUUAUUAUUAUUUAUUGUUUUUGGGAAAGACCAAAAAAAUUGGCAGUUUUUUUGUUUUUUGUUUGCAUUAUUUCUAAAUAGGUUGAAUGCUCUCAAUUGGAUCUCAGUUGUGAGUUUAUGAAA